This 480-nucleotide ribosomal RNA is filed under the name fungal sp. E14618E. RNAcentral's name for it is "eukaryotic LSU rRNA". The stretch from base 131 to 284 matches the Rfam family "5.8S ribosomal RNA". The record is from RNAcentral. Lineage: Eukaryota; Fungi.
AACCCCUGUGAACAUACCAAUUGUUGCCUCGGCGGAUCAGCCCGCUCCCGGUAAAACGGGACGGCCCGCCAGAGGACCCCUAAACUCUGUUUCUAUAUGUAACUUCUGAGUAAAACCAUAAAUAAAUCAAAACUUUCAACAACGGAUCUCUUGGUUCUGGCAUCGAUGAAGAACGCAGCAAAAUGCGAUAAGUAAUGUGAAUUGCAGAAUUCAGUGAAUCAUCGAAUCUUUGAACGCACAUUGCGCCCGCCAGUAUUCUGGCGGGCAUGCCUGUUCGAGCGUCAUUUCAACCCUCAAGCCCUCGGGUUUGGUGUUGGGGAUCGGCGAGCCCUUGCGGCAAGCCGGCCCCGAAAUCUAGUGGCGGUCUCGCUGCAGCUUCCAUUGCGUAGUAGUAAAACCCUCGCAACUGGUACGCGGCGCGGCCAAGCCGUUAAACCCCCAACUUCUGAAUGUUGACCUCGGAUCAGGUAGGAAUACCCG